AUGAGUUCAUGCCCUCACGGGUAGACCUCCACCCUUGCUUAUUAUAUACAUGUUGCUUUGGCGGAAUAAGCUUUCCCCUUCACUGGGGUUAGCCGCCGCCGCCAGAGGACCUCAAACCCUGAAUAAUAGUGUCGUCUGAGUACUAUAUAAUAGUUA
This 156-nucleotide unclassified non-coding RNA is filed under the name uncultured Helotiales. Its description in RNAcentral is "sequence contains ITS1". The record is from RNAcentral. Lineage: Eukaryota; Fungi; Ascomycota; Leotiomycetes; Helotiales.